UUCCUCUAAUUCUUCUUUUCCUUUGGAGCAUCCAAGAGAUUUAAAGAAGAAGAGAGAGUUCAGCCUUUGAAGAUCCUUGCGAGCUAGCACUCCCGAGGAGCCUAAUCUGCAUUGAUCUUCAUGUGGACAAUUUGUAAAGGUCAGACUUCUUUGUAUGACUAUGAGCAAUCUAAAAAAACUCUCUCCUAUGUGAGAUUAUUAUGGAGAUCAGCAACCCACAAUCUAGUAACGAGUUUUGAACUUGUUAG
RNAcentral lists this long non-coding RNA (248 nucleotides) under Elaeis guineensis (African oil palm). RNAcentral's name for it is "long non-coding RNA (EGUI_LNC045855)". Lineage: Eukaryota; Viridiplantae; Streptophyta; Magnoliopsida; Arecales; Arecaceae. The record is from RNAcentral.